GUUGAACGCUGGCGGCGUGCCUAAUACAUGCAAGUCGAGCGAAUAGACGAAGAUCGUGCCCCGCUGACGUUAGCGACGGACGAGUAAGUAAUAGGUGGAUAACCUGCCGAUAAGACUGAGAUAACUUCGUGGAAGCGUAGCUAAUAUCGGACAUCAUAUUGAACGUGAUGGUUCAACGGUUAUAGACGUUUUUGCUGUCACUUAUAAAUGUAACCGCGCCGGAUUAGCUAGGUGGUAAGGUAACGGCUUACCAAGGCAACGAUGCGUAGCCGACCUGAGAUGGUGAUCUGCCACACUGGAACUGAGACACGGUCCAGACUCCUACGGGAGGCAGCAGUGGUGAAUCUUACGCAAUGGGCGAAAGCCUGACCGAGCAAAGCCGCGUGAGUGAUGAAGGUCUUCGGAUCGUAAAACACUGUUAUUAGGGAAGAACAAAAGUGAAAGUAACCAUGCACGUCUUGACGUUACCUAAACAGAAAGCACCGGCUAACUACGUG
This 497-nucleotide ribosomal RNA is filed under the name uncultured bacterium. Its description in RNAcentral is "partial 16S ribosomal RNA". It matches the Rfam family "Bacterial small subunit ribosomal RNA", at positions 28 to 507 of the family's 1533-position model. The record is from RNAcentral.